AAAGUCGUAACAAGGUUUCCGUAGGUGAACCUGCGGAAGGAUCAUUACCGAGUUCGGGGUUUCCCCAACUCCCACCCUUGUUUACCUCACGUUGCUUCGGCGAGACGUUGGAAGCAGCCAUCGGCAAUUCCUAAUAGAUGCCCUGAUGCGUGCUCGCCGGACUCCCAUACUCUUAGACUAUGUACAGUCAGAUGAAAUAAGCAAUAUAUAAAAACUUUCAACAACGGAUCUCUUGGUUUUG
Molecule: unclassified non-coding RNA, 241 nt
Filed under: Ascomycota sp.
Lineage: Eukaryota; Fungi; Ascomycota
Description: partial contains small subunit ribosomal RNA, internal transcribed spacer 1, and 5.8S ribosomal RNA
Rfam family: Eukaryotic small subunit ribosomal RNA (bases 1-47)
Source: RNAcentral